AGAUAGAGGCUCAUCCCUGUCCAACUCCUGGAUCUCGCUUCUGUAAUCGCGCAACGUCGCCUUUUACUGUAUUCCCCCUCUCUCCCCCUGCUCCUCUUCUCGCCCUGUUUUGUCUCUUUUUUUCCUUUAAUGUACCUCCCCUAUGUUCUUUCUAAAGGAAGCCUAAGCUGCUUCCACCUUGUACGCUUAGUUCAUUGCUCUUAGUGAAUGAAGCAGGUAGCGUGCUACCUUUCUCUCAAAAAAAAAGUUUUAUCAAAUAAGGUAGUUUGUUUAUUGUCAUAUUCUCUCUCUCUCUCUCUCUCUCUCUCUCUCUCUCUCUCUCUCUCUCUCUCUCUCUCUCUCUCUCUCUCUCCC
Molecule: long non-coding RNA, 354 nt
Filed under: Ananas comosus (pineapple)
Lineage: Eukaryota; Viridiplantae; Streptophyta; Magnoliopsida; Poales; Bromeliaceae
Description: long non-coding RNA (ACOM_LNC000110)
Source: RNAcentral